Molecule: ribosomal RNA, 2784 nt
Filed under: Escherichia coli
Lineage: Bacteria; Pseudomonadati; Pseudomonadota; Gammaproteobacteria; Enterobacterales; Enterobacteriaceae
Description: partial 23S ribosomal RNA
Rfam family: Bacterial large subunit ribosomal RNA
Source: RNAcentral
GGGUUGUGAGGUUAAGCGACUAAGCGUACACGGUGGAUGCCCUGGCAGUCAGAGGCGAUGAAGGACGUGCUAAUCUGCGAUAAGCGUCGGUAAGGUGAUAUGAACCGUUAUAACCGGCGAUUUCCGAAUGGGGAAACCCAGUGUGAUUCGUCACACUAUCAUUAACUGAAUUCAUAGGUUAAUGAAGCGAACCGGGGGAACUGAAACAUCUAAGUACCCCGAGGAAAAGAAAUCAACCGAGAUUCCCCCAGUAGCGGCGAGCGAACGGGGAGCAGCCCAGAGCCUGAAUCAGUGUGUGUGUUAGUGGAAGCGUCUGGAAAGGCGCGCGAUACAGGGUGACAGCCCCGUACACAAAAAUGCACAUAUUGUGAGCUCGAAGAGUAGGGCGGGACACGUGGUAUCCUGUCUGAAUAUGGGGGGACCAUCCUCCAAGGCUAAAUACUCCUGACUGACCGAUAGUGAACCAGUACCGUGAGGGAAAGGCGAAAAGAACCCCGGCGAGGGGAGUGAAAAAGAACCUGAAACCGUGUACGUACAAGCAGUGGGAGCACGCUUCGGCGUGUGACUGCGUACCUUUUGUAUAAUGGGUCAGCGACUUAUAUUCUGUAGCAAGGUUAACCGAAUAGGGGAGCCGAAGGGAAACCGAGUCUUAACUGGGCGUUAAGUUGCAGGGUAUAGACCCGAAACCCGGUGAUCUAGCCAUGGGCAGGUUGAAGGUUGGGUAACACUAACUGGAGGACCGAACCGACUAAUGUUGAAAAAUUAGCGGAUGACUUGUGGCUGGGGGUGAAAGGCCAAUCAAACCGGGAGAUAGCUGGUUCUCCCCGAAAGCUAUUUAGGUAGCGCCUCGUGAAUUCAUCUCCGGGGGUAGAGCACUGUUUCGGCAAGGGGGUCAUCCCGACUUACCAACCCGAUGCAAACUGCGAAUACCGGAGAAUGUUAUCACGGGAGACACACGGCGGGUGCUAACGUCCGUCGUGAAGAGGGAAACAACCCAGACCGCCAGCUAAGGUCCCAAAGUCAUGGUUAAGUGGGAAACGAUGUGGGAAGGCCCAGACAGCCAGGAUGUUGGCUUAGAAGCAGCCAUCAUUUAAAGAAAGCGUAAUAGCUCACUGGUCGAGUCGGCCUGCGCGGAAGAUGUAACGGGGCUAAACCAUGCACCGAAGCUGCGGCAGCGACACUAUGUGUUGUUGGGUAGGGGAGCGUUCUGUAAGCCUGUGAAGGUGUGCUGUGAGGCAUGCUGGAGGUAUCAGAAGUGCGAAUGCUGACAUAAGUAACGAUAAAGCGGGUGAAAAGCCCGCUCGCCGGAAGACCAAGGGUUCCUGUCCAACGUUAAUCGGGGCAGGGUGAGUCGACCCCUAAGGCGAGGCCGAAAGGCGUAGUCGAUGGGAAACAGGUUAAUAUUCCUGUACUUGGUGUUACUGCGAAGGGGGGACGGAGAAGGCUAUGUUGGCCGGGCGACGGUUGUCCCGGUUUAAGCGUGUAGGCUGGUUUUCCAGGCAAAUCCGGAAAAUCAAGGCUGAGGCGUGAUGACGAGGCACUACGGUGCUGAAGUAACAAAUGCCCUGCUUCCAGGAAAAGCCUCUAAGCAUCAGGUAACAUCAAAUCGUACCCCAAACCGACACAGGUGGUCAGGUAGAGAAUACCAAGGCGCUUGAGAGAACUCGGGUGAAGGAACUAGGCAAAAUGGUGCCGUAACUUCGGGAGAAGGCACGCUGAUAUGUAGGUGAAGCGACUUGCUCGUGGAGCUGAAAUCAGUCGAAGAUACCAGCUGGCUGCAACUGUUUAUUAAAAACACAGCACUGUGCAAACACGAAAGUGGACGUAUACGGUGUGACGCCUGCCCGGUGCCGGAAGGUUAAUUGAUGGGGUUAGCGGUAACGCGAAGCUCUUGAUCGAAGCCCCGGUAAACGGCGGCCGUAACUAUAACGGUCCUAAGGUAGCGAAAUUCCUUGUCGGGUAAGUUCCGACCUGCACGAAUGGCGUAAUGAUGGCCAGGCUGUCUCCACCCGAGACUCAGUGAAAUUGAACUCGCUGUGAAGAUGCAGUGUACCCGCGGCAAGACGGAAAGACCCCGUGAACCUUUACUAUAGCUUGACACUGAACAUUGAGCCUUGAUGUGUAGGAUAGGUGGGAGGCUUAGAAGUGUGGACGCCAGUCUGCAUGGAGCCGACCUUGAAAUACCACCCUUUAAUGUUUGAUGUUCUAACGUAGGCCCGUAAUCCGGGUUGCGGACAGUGUCUGGUGGGUAGUUUGACUGGGGCGGUCUCCUCCUAAAGAGUAACGGAGGAGCACGAAGGUUGGCUAAUCCUGGUCGGACAUCAGGAGGUUAGUGCAAUGGCAUAAGCCAGCUUGACUGCGAGCGUGACGGCGCGAGCAGGUGCGAAAGCAGGUCAUAGUGAUCCGGUGGUUCUGAAUGGAAGGGCCAUCGCUCAACGGAUAAAAGGUACUCCGGGGAUAACAGGCUGAUACCGCCCAAGAGUUCAUAUCGACGGCGGUGUUUGGCACCUCGAUGUCGGCUCAUCACAUCCUGGGGCUGAAGUAGGUCCCAAGGGUAUGGCUGUUCGCCAUUUAAAGUGGUACGCGAGCUGGGUUUAGAACGUCGUGAGACAGUUCGGUCCCUAUCUGCCGUGGGCGCUGGAGAACUGAGGGGGGCUGCUCCUAGUACGAGAGGACCGGAGUGGACGCAUCACUGGUGUUCGGGUUGUCAUGCCAAUGGCACUGCCCGGUAGCUAAAUGCGGAAGAGAUAAGUGCUGAAAGCAUCUAAGCACGAAACUUGCCCC